AUGAACGCUGGCGGCGUGCCUAAUACAUGCAAGUCGAGCGAACAGACGAGGAGCUUGCUCCUCUGACGUUAGCGGCGGACGGGUGAGUAACACGUGGAUAACCUACCUAUAGACUGGGAUAACUUCGGGAAACCGGAGCUAAUACCGGAUAAUAUAUUGAACCGCAUGGUUCAAUAGUGAAAGACGGUUUUGCUGUCACUUAUAGAUGGAUCCGCGCCGCAUUAGCUAGUUGGUAAGGUAACGGCUUACCAAGGCAACGAUGCGUAGCCGACCUGAGAGGGUGAUCGGCCACACUGGAACUGAGACACGGUCCAGACUCCUACGGGAGGCAGCAGUAGGGAAUCUUCCGCAAUGGGCGAAAGCCUGACGGAGCAACGCCGCGUGAGUGAUGAAGGUCUUCGGAUCGUAAAACUCUGUUAUUAGGGAAGAACAAAUGUGUAAGUAACUAUGCACGUCUUGACGGUACCUAAUCAGAAAGCCACGGCUAACUACGUG
This 495-nucleotide ribosomal RNA is filed under the name uncultured bacterium. RNAcentral describes it as "partial 16S ribosomal RNA". It matches the Rfam family "Bacterial small subunit ribosomal RNA", at positions 29 to 507 of the family's 1533-position model. The record is from RNAcentral.